AGCUAUAUGAAUUAAUAUAUAGUUAUUUCUGCUCAAUGACAUUAAAUAGCCGCAGUACCCUGACUGUGCAAAGGUAGCAUAAUCAAUUGGCUUUUAAUUGGAGUCUAGUAUGAAGGAAAAUAUGGAUGGUAACUGUCUUAGCAUAUUUAUUGGAAAUUAUUAAGUGAGUGCAAAUACUCAUAGAGAUAAAAAAGACGAGAAGACCCUAGAAACUUGAUUAAAGGUUUUGUUGGGGCGACAAAAUUACACUUAACUAAUUUUUAUUAACAGGAUGCGAAGAAGAAAGAAUAAGUUACUCUAGGGAUAACAGCAUAAUUUUAAUAGUUUGUGACCUCGAUGUUGGACUAGGUAUUAUAAUCUUUAGACAAGAUUAUAAAGCGCUCUGUUCGAGCAAUUUCACCUACAU
This 406-nucleotide ribosomal RNA is filed under the name Helix buchi. Its description in RNAcentral is "partial 16S ribosomal RNA". It matches the Rfam family "Bacterial large subunit ribosomal RNA", at positions 1832 to 2601 of the family's 2925-position model. Lineage: Eukaryota; Metazoa; Mollusca; Gastropoda; Stylommatophora; Helicidae. The record is from RNAcentral.